Molecule: ribosomal RNA, 401 nt
Filed under: uncultured Hypotrichia
Lineage: Eukaryota; Ciliophora; Spirotrichea
Description: partial small subunit ribosomal RNA
Rfam family: Eukaryotic small subunit ribosomal RNA
Source: RNAcentral
GCUUGUCUCAAAGAUUAAGCCAUGCAUGUCUAAGUAUAAACACCUUUAUACUGUGAAACUGCGUACAGCUCAUUAAAUCAGUAAUAAUUUAUUUGAUGGUGACUUACUACAUGGAUAACCGUAGUAACCUAGAGCUAAUACAUGCACAAAAUCCCGACUUCACGGAAGGGAUGUAUUUAUUAGAUAACAAACCAAUAUUCUUCGUGUCUAUUGUGAUGACUCAUAAUAACUGAUCGAAUCGCAUGGUCCUUGACCGCGAUAAAUCAUUCAAGUUUCUGCCCCAUCAGCUUUCGAUGGUAGUGUAUUGGACUACCAUGGCUUUAACGGGUAACGGAGGAUUAGGGUUCGAUUCCGGAGAGGGAGCCUGAGAAACGGCUACCACAUCUAAGGAAGGCAGCAGG